This is a long non-coding RNA of Ficedula albicollis (Collared flycatcher), 381 nucleotides long. RefSeq lists it as uncharacterized. The transcript has 3 exons. The record is from RefSeq and is a predicted model, not a curated record. Lineage: Eukaryota; Metazoa; Chordata; Aves; Passeriformes; Muscicapidae.
GCUUGCCAGAGCUCCCUGGCAAAGGUAAAUAUUCAAGAGCUUAAUGUUAGUCUAGAGCAGGUUUGGCGCUGGGUUCCUGAAGAGCAGCAGAGUUUUAAGCGAGGUGAGGAGACGCUGCGUGAGGGGAAUGCGGACAAACGGCACGGGCCCAGCGCCAGGGGGAAAAGAGAAAUAAAUUUAAGCUGUGGCUUGAGGGUAUGGACGGCAACUUCACGCGAUAAAGGCGCAUUCGAGGACGCAAGCAGCAUACUCAAAGCUGAUUGGGUAAACGUGACCUUGAGUGAGAAUUUAUCCACGCGCGCACACGCACAAAGGGGAGUUUGCAGGUAAAUUAAUUUAUACUACAAAGAUGUUAUCCAGUGCAGCUAUACAACAUACCAC